This 460-nucleotide ribosomal RNA is filed under the name uncultured bacterium. Its description in RNAcentral is "partial 16S ribosomal RNA". It matches the Rfam family "Bacterial small subunit ribosomal RNA", at positions 338 to 795 of the family's 1533-position model. The record is from RNAcentral.
CCUACGGGAGGCAGCAGUGAGGAAUCUUGGUCAAUGGGCGCGAGCCUGAACCAGCCAAGUCGCGUGAAGGAAGAAUGCCCUCCGGUUUGUAAACUUCUUUUAUAAAGGAAUACAAUGAGGCACGUAUGCCUUUUUGUAUGUACUUUAUUAAUAAGGAUCGGCUAACUAAGUUCCAGCAGCCCCGGUACUACGGUUGAGCCGGGCUUUAUCCGGAUUUAUUGGGUGUAAAGUGAGCGUAGAUGGGUUGUUAAGUCAGUUUUGAAAGUUUGCGGCUCAACCGUAAAAUUGCAAUUGAGACUGGCAGGCUUGAGUACAGUUGAGGGAGGUGGAAUUCGUGGUGUAGCGGUGAAAUGCUUAGAUAUCACGAAGAACCCCGAUUGCGAAGGCAGCUUACUAAUCUGCCACUGACAUUGAUGCUCGAAAGUGUGGGUAUCAAACAGGAUUAGAUACCCUUGUAGUC